Molecule: long non-coding RNA, 1190 nt
Filed under: Equus asinus (donkey)
Lineage: Eukaryota; Metazoa; Chordata; Mammalia; Perissodactyla; Equidae
Description: lncRNA (ENSEASG00005038047.1)
Source: RNAcentral
ACUACUCUGACCCACCCUGGAGGAGGAAUUUGGACAACAAGUAAUGUGAGGUUGUCCCUGCUUGUCAUGCUUGCCCUGUGGCCUUGGCCUUAGGGCGGCCCUGGCCCUUUCGCUGCUCACCUGCUGCAGCGCUUUCCCUCCUGCUGAUGCUCUUGCCAACCUGCUGCAGUAGGAUGAGUUCUUGCGGCUGCUGAGUAACUUUUCCUCUGUUUCAGGGAUGAAGCAUGAAAAACAAUGGCAAGAUAAGUGACAAAAUUAAGACAAAUGGAAGUGUUCGUACAGUUAACAGAUUUUUUUCUUCUCAGAUGGAGUUUGGACUUCUUUUGCACAGAUUCUGUUAGAAGGCAGAUUGAAAGUCCUCAACAUGUAUCUGUGCCGAAUGGUUCCUUGCAGCUUGAGACAUCUAAGCAGUCUGUGUUCUUUCUUUGAUCGAAACUUUAUUUUUUUAAAUUUCAGUUAUUUUUGUGUGGGUAAGGAGGGAGGGAGAGCAUAUCUUAGGGGAGAGGAGAAAGACUUCUUUGUGUCUACCCUUUAUAGGUCUCUCUUGCCUAAGUUUGUAAGCUUGCCCCAUAUUCACUUCUAGUUUAGCCAGUAAACCCAGUUCCUAGAAAGUCUUUCUGAUGGGGAGAGUUAGAUGGGUAUUAUGUUUGGGGCCCUACAAGACCACGUCGUCUGUUGGGUUAAUUCUGGGCCUUGCUUUUGGUUUGUGUUUAUUUUCUUUUUAAAUAAUCCUGCAGAGUGCUUUUACAUCUUGUUUCUCCUAACUGUGGGAUUGAUUUGAGAUUUUUGACUGAGAUUUUAGAUAGCUUUUCUCACAGGAAAUGCAAAACCCUGAUGUUGAUGUAAGGGUUUAUGUUUGGGGAGAGGUGCAUGUGCGAAUGAUUGUAAGACCAACAAAUGUGCUCUUCUGAUUUCAUUUGGAUUCCAUAUGUUUUUCAGGAGGAAAGGUUGCCAGCUCAUUCUCAAUUUCCUGGAUUUCUCGCCUGUAACAGUGAAAAAGAUCAGCAGGUAACUGCUCAUAGUUUAUCACAGUACCAAAAUGUAUACUGGAUGAACUUCAACCACUUGUUUGAAUCAAGGCUAAGGAGGAAGCCAGACUUCAGAACACUGAAUAAACCCCAGAAGAAAGUAUCAUUUCAGGAACCUGGUUGGGCCUAGGCAGUCUCAUCAUUCUUCAGUUUUAAUCUUUG